Long non-coding RNA from Amblyraja radiata (thorny skate), 206 nucleotides. RefSeq lists it as uncharacterized. The transcript has 3 exons. The record is from RefSeq and is a predicted model, not a curated record. Lineage: Eukaryota; Metazoa; Chordata; Chondrichthyes; Rajiformes; Rajidae.
GUUUACAUCAAACCACCUUUCAUACAUUUGGUAAACUCAGUCCGUGGGGAAGCUUUGUUUUCCUGCCCUGUUGUAGCACCUGAAAGAACAGAAGAUGGGAAAAAAUGUGUGUCUCAGAAUUAUGGAUGUGCAGCUCCUUGUGAUUGUGACUUGCAUUCUUUUGAACUCGCUCUCAAUUGAAAGUAUGAAAGGGAAGUCUAACAUUG